CAGCAGUAAUAAAUGCAUUUUCAUCUUCUCUUAACGUUAAAGCUUCAGCCUGCCUUGGAUGAAGUGAAGUUUGUUUCUAUCACAAUUCCCAAGCAAGAGAGGGAUGUUCUGUUUCCUAAUUCCAGAGAUUUUUCGCCCUUUGGAUUAAAUGCAUUUCUGACUAUGCUACAAAACAGCAACGAUUUAUAUCAAACGAGCAAUAGAAAAGGCAAAUGGAAAGAUACAGUGGAUGAUAAAAAGGUGUUAGAGUAAAUAUAAGGGUCUCUGCUCUGGGCUGAUGGUGAUUUGGAAGUGAAGACACAGGUCACUGGAUCAAAUGUAAAUUGUACAGAGCAUGCUCACUCUUGCUUACUUGGUAGCUUCCAGAAGUGGGCUGAAAGUGGCACUUAGAUCUAUGAGGCUCAGAACCUGUGGAUAUCUUGGGGAGAAUGUGUGGCUAAAUGAGUCAUUACUCUUGAAUUACUUACCUUGAAGACAGGAUACUGUGGAAAAGCUUACCAAGUCAAUGGGGCUCAAGGUAUUUGUUGACUAUAUUUUCCCACUUUCAAGAGCUGUCAAUCUGACAUGAG
RNAcentral lists this long non-coding RNA (569 nucleotides) under Phascolarctos cinereus (koala). Its description in RNAcentral is "lncRNA (ENSPCIG00000024174.2)". The record is from RNAcentral. Lineage: Eukaryota; Metazoa; Chordata; Mammalia; Diprotodontia; Phascolarctidae.